ACGCCGCACCAGGUAUCGUACGCUAGGACGAGAGAGAGGGAGAGAGGUUCGGUUAGGGAGGUUCCGACCGCGGGGAAAUGGGUGGAGGACAAUGGUUUUCUUGGGGGAGGAUGAGGACUUUGCCAGAGCUCUUCAUUAAAAGCUACUUCCUGAAAGGAGCUAGGAGCCAAAUCUGUGAGCCGACAGGCAUAUACUCUAAGCCCCCAUCAUACUCCCUUCCUGCUCCUGGCUUCAAAUAUGGAACGGUGUCUCUGAGAGGCGGGGCACCCGGCGCCCCUCCGGGCCCGUAAGCGACCCCCGCCCGGCAGCUCCGGAGGUGGGGUCGGAGUUGGGUGAAGGCUGACCCACACGCAAAGGGCCAGGCUCCGAUCGAGCUGCCCAACACCCACUGGCCGGGCCCCGCAGACUCAAAGGGCGACCACAGCAGCCCAGAAAGGGAACACAGGCAUCUGGGACCGAAACGUCUCAUAAUUUCUUGGCGGGUCUCCAGCCUAGUGGCAGCUUAAAAUAAACUGGCAUGAAAUGGGGUCGUGGAAGAGUUCAAGAAUUAAUUGGGUGAAAAAUAGUAUUUGACUAGAUGAUCGGGCUCGCAUGGCUGCUCUUCAGUCAGACCGGGGAGUGGGGAAGACAAUAGUGCGCCUCAGGUCCUCAUCCCUGGCCCCUCUUCCCAACCUGCCCCUCAUUAACCCUUCCCUCUGACAUCUUGGGUCUGGAGCAGGCAAAGGUAAAUGGAAUCAAGCACCUUUCCUCUGAGUCACAACUGAGGGUGGAGGUGCUGCUGGAUUUUCCUUCUUUUCCAGGCUGUUCUCAAACCCCUCAAGGUCUACCUGCUGCCUUCGGGGUUCAACUUCCAGCAAGAAGCGUGGGAAGCAGCCCCAUCCCCACUAAGCCCCCAAGCGGAGUGGUGUGGUGAGCCCAGCACGAAAUCCCCUUCCAAUCUCUCAAAGCAAACCUCUCCAAGCACUCGCUUACCCUACCCUGACUGGUGCCUCCAGCUUCGCACAGGUGUUGGAGGCGAUAAGGAGAGUGACAUCCAUUAAACCUGAGGCACAACAGAGCCCCAGCGGGGAGAAGAAACAGCCUGACGUCGGUAAGACAUGUCACAGAUGGAGUUCCAGUGACAGACAGGAAAUCAGUGCAAAAGCGAAACCCUAAUAAUACCUGGCGGAUAAAGAGCUA
Molecule: long non-coding RNA, 1179 nt
Filed under: Homo sapiens (human)
Lineage: Eukaryota; Metazoa; Chordata; Mammalia; Primates; Hominidae
Description: HSALNT0043011
Source: RNAcentral